Podarcis lilfordi (Lilford's wall lizard) is the source of this 71-nucleotide non-coding RNA. NCBI's taxonomy places the organism in Eukaryota, Metazoa, Chordata, Lepidosauria, Squamata, Lacertidae. The record is from the annotation of a GenBank genome assembly.
GAAUAUAGCUCAGUCGGCAAACCGUGAGACUCUGAAUCUCAGAGUAGUGGGUUUGAGCCCCACGUUGUGCA